RNAcentral lists this RNase P RNA (338 nucleotides) under Methanomicrobiales archaeon. RNAcentral's name for it is "RNase P RNA component". It matches the Rfam family "Archaeal RNase P". Rfam says of the family: Ribonuclease P (RNase P) is a ubiquitous endoribonuclease, found in archaea, bacteria and eukarya as well as chloroplasts and mitochondria. Its best characterised activity is the generation of mature 5'-ends of tRNAs by cleaving the 5'-leader elements of precursor-tRNAs. Lineage: Archaea; Methanobacteriati; Methanobacteriota; Methanomicrobia; Methanomicrobiales. The record is from RNAcentral.
GAGAGGGAGAGUGCGGCCGACGGUGGCACAUCUCCUGUGCUGCUGAGGAAAGUCCUCCCACCGGCCAGACACGCAGCCGCAUGCAAGUGCGGGUGGCGAGAGUCACGGCAAUGACACAGAAACGACACGGCCUGCCGCCAGUUAUGAGACGAUCGAGCCCCCGUCAAUGGGGGCGAGAGGCGCAAGCAUCUCGUUGAACGCAGCGGCAGGAUACGAUGAAACGGUGAAUCCCUGCGGGUGCAAGCCAGAACAGGGCAGAUGGAUCGUCUGGCAUCCGCCCGGGUAUGGCGCGCAGCUGAAUGCCGCACUGAACAGAAGGAGGCUUACUCCUCCCACUC